GAACACAAAAUGGCGACACGUGGUUAGCAUUCGUCGCCAACGAGAAAUUGGGGUCGGCCCGAAAGCUCUAGAAUGCACCCCUCUUCCUCCCCGGGGCCUUCCACCUCCGCGAGUUUUAUGACUUAAAAAAGCCCACAGGCUGGUCUGAAGAGGAAGACAAACAUAAAGAUGAAGUGCUUAAUUCAAGGUCACACAAUGUCGGGGAUGGACCUCCAGAUUUCCUUACUGACCUGCAUUAUCUUGUGGAUACCUGAGUGAAUUCCACACCACCCAUUUUAUAGAUGAAACCACUGAGACAUGGAGCAAUUGACUGAGUAGUCACUGCCCCACCCCUGCCUGGAGCCUCACACAUGACUCGCCUCCUCUCAGUGACCACAGGUGAGACGUGGUCUUGUAACACAGUGGUUAAGAAUGUGACUUUGGAGCCAGCCUGCUAGGGGCUGAAUUCUGACUCAGCCAUUUACUAACUGUGUGACCUUAGGUCACAGAAUUUUCCACACUCCUUGACAGAGGUGCUUAACCCUUAUCCAUCAGCAUUCUCAGACAG
RNAcentral lists this long non-coding RNA (547 nucleotides) under Homo sapiens (human). RNAcentral describes it as "PCBP1 antisense RNA 1". The record is from RNAcentral. Lineage: Eukaryota; Metazoa; Chordata; Mammalia; Primates; Hominidae.